Molecule: long non-coding RNA, 948 nt
Organism: Mugil cephalus (flathead mullet)
Lineage: Eukaryota; Metazoa; Chordata; Actinopteri; Mugiliformes; Mugilidae
Exons: 2
Source: RefSeq, a predicted model, not a curated record
CCUCCUGGCACUUAUCUCCCAGGCUGCGUUUCUGCCAGAUGGGAAUCGCGGCUUGUUGCGAUGGAUGGAAGUGCGGUGGUUCUGAGGCAGAUUCGGGAGGUUACGGGUCGUACCCGGCUUUGUUUGGCUUUACGCGCAGAGCGCACGGGGAUCAGCCCACUCCAGGGAGCAUCGGGUGGGCACCGUCCUUCGCAGCAUCAUCAUGACCGUCAAGUUUUGUGUCUCUGACCCAGUUACAGGUCAUGACCACACACGCCUGGCAAGCGAAUGUGUUGUUUUUUUCGCAAGCGGUCCUAUUUCGUUUGGAGCAAACAAACAUUGGAGAUCCGUGUCCAGCCCCCAGCCCAGUGGGAAACCUGCACAGUAAACCCCUGGUGGGCUCCGGAUUGCCCCACAAACACUGCUGGAGGAGUCUGUUGAAUACGAGCCGCUGCAACAUGGUCCUGUAGUGACGCCUGAUCCGUCAGACUCUGAGAGUGGAGUCAACCCUCCUCAAUAAAAACUCACGAGUCAACCCCCUCGUAGUCAAUCAAAUAGUAGAGUUUAACUCCACUGAUGCCAGACUCGCUUUCCGGAGUUUGGUUUGUUUUGACGCACGUCUGAGUAAUGGAUAACGGGAUUAGUUGUUAGUUUAGACAAAUAACUUUAAUGUUUAAACUGAACCUGGUGAAGACUCGUAUGAAAACAUUCCACGUGUGAUUUUGUUUUGUUAUAAAUAAUAACUGAUACAUGGGCUAUUUAUGCUAAUUAUUGUUUCAGUGUAGGGGGAAAAAUCAGUUCAUAUUUCAUUUAUUUAUGUUUGGUUUUAUUUUUUAUGACCUUUGUUAUUUUGGUGGAAAAAUAAACUGUUUCCAUGUUUCCGAGGUAAAGAUUAACUGAAAACUAUUGUCUGUGUGUCUAAAAUUAAAAUUUGGAUUAAAUUAAGGCAUAUUUCCACCAUGAACUGCA